Molecule: ribosomal RNA, 303 nt
Filed under: Palaemon adspersus
Lineage: Eukaryota; Metazoa; Arthropoda; Malacostraca; Decapoda; Palaemonidae
Description: partial 16S ribosomal RNA
Source: RNAcentral
CUUUUAAUUGAAGGCUUGAAUGAACGGUUGGAUGAAAGAAUAUAGCUGUCUCUAAUAAUUUAAAACUUGACUUUUAAGUGAAAAGGCUUAGAUUUAAUAAGGGGACGAUAAGACCCUAUAAAACUUUAUAAAUGAAGUAUGUAAUCUCUAAAUUAUAUUAAAAUGUUGAUAAGUAUUUUAUUUAUUUCGUUGGGGCGACGUUGAUAUAAUUUGUAACUGUCUAAAUGAAUAAUAUAAUCGUCAUUAUACUUUGAUCCUUCUUUGUGGAUUAUAAGACUAAGUUACUUUAGGGAUAACAGCGUA